GACGAACGCUGGCGGCGUGCUUAACACAUGCAAGUCGAACGGAAAGGCCCUGCUUUUGUGGGGUGCUCGAGUGGCGAACGGGUGAGUAACACGUGAGUAACCUGCCCUUGACUUUGGGAUAACUUCAGGAAACUGGGGCUAAUACCGGAUAGGAGCUCCUGCUGCAUGGUGGGGGUUGGAAAGUUUCGGCGGUUGGGGAUGGACUCGCGGCUUAUCAGCUUGUUGGUGGGGUAGGGGCUUACCAAGGCUUUGACGGGUAGCCGGCCUGAGAGGGUGACCGGCCACAAUGGGACUGAGAGACGGCCCAGACGCCUACGGGAGGCAGCAGUGGGGAAUAUUGCACAAUGGGCGGAAGCCUGAUGCAGCAACGCCGCGUGCGGGAUGACGGCCUUCGGGUUGUAAACCGAUUUCGCCUGUGACGAAGCGUGAGUGACGGUAAUGGGUAAAGAAGCACCGGCUAACUACGUG
Molecule: ribosomal RNA, 468 nt
Filed under: uncultured bacterium
Lineage: Bacteria
Description: partial 16S ribosomal RNA
Rfam family: Bacterial small subunit ribosomal RNA
Source: RNAcentral